Molecule: small nucleolar RNA, 126 nt
Filed under: Echinops telfairi (small Madagascar hedgehog)
Lineage: Eukaryota; Metazoa; Chordata; Mammalia; Afrosoricida; Tenrecidae
Description: Small nucleolar RNA SNORA20 (ENSETEG00000022319.1)
Rfam family: Small nucleolar RNA SNORA20
About the family: ACA20 is a member of the H/ACA class of snoRNA that guide the sites of modification of uridines to pseudouridines.
Source: RNAcentral
UUUCCCAUUGAUUUGCUGCUAUUGUCUGUCAGUGAUAUGAGCAGGUAUACGCAUGGAAUAAAAUGAGACCCUUGCAAAUUGAGAUGAAAAUAAUAAUUUUCUCUCUUCUGCAUGGCCUGGACAUUG